This 381-nucleotide unclassified non-coding RNA is filed under the name soil metagenome. Its description in RNAcentral is "partial contains 5.8S ribosomal RNA, internal transcribed spacer 2, and large subunit ribosomal RNA". The stretch from base 1 to 120 matches the Rfam family "5.8S ribosomal RNA", at positions 35 to 154 of the family's 154-position model. The record is from RNAcentral.
GAUGAAGAACGUAGUGAAAUGCGAUAAGUAAUGUGAAUUGCAGAAUUCAGUGAAUCAUCGAAUCUUUGAACGCACCUUGCACCCUUUGGCAUUCCGAAGGGUAUGCUCGUUUGAGUGUCAUUGUACUCUCACACUUCUGAUCCUUUGGAUUGGGAGCGGUGGACUUGGGUGUUGCUGCUUUACUGUGGCUCACCUCAAAUGCAUUCGUGCAACUCUUGGUUGGACAUAGUACGGCGUGAUAAGUAUCUUCGCCGGCACCUCGCAAGAGGGUGGCUGAUCAGGAGCUCUGUGCUUUCCAACUGUCUUCAGACAACAACUGACAACUUGACCUCAAAUCGAGUAGGACCACCCGCUGAACUUAAGCAUAUCAAUAAGGGAGGA